This is a long non-coding RNA of Papaver somniferum (opium poppy), 2157 nucleotides long. RefSeq lists it as uncharacterized. NCBI's taxonomy places the organism in Eukaryota, Viridiplantae, Streptophyta, Magnoliopsida, Ranunculales, Papaveraceae. The record is from RefSeq and is a predicted model, not a curated record. The transcript is spliced from 2 exons.
AACUUGUUCAUGAUCAUCAAUUCAUCACAUUGUUUAUCAGCACUCCAGAGUAUAUAUCACUAUUCUACUAAGCAUGAAUUUCCUUUUCUUUUCAUCAUCAGUAUGGUUGAGCUUUAAUAUCGUUUCAACUAUUCAAAAUAUUUCAGUUUGGAUAUGUUUUUGGAGGAUUACUGAAAUUCCCACUUUGGAAUAGUGGCUUUAUUAAGUGGCUGAAGUAAGCUUGCAUAUCCAUCUGUAUUAUAAGGGACAAUGUUGUUUUUCCAUAUCCAUGGUUCUGGGACAUAUAAAAGGCGUUGCAGAUUGAUCAUAAUUCUUAGAUCGGAGAAUACGAGAGAUUUACAUUUUGGCAAUAUAAAGGACGGUCACGAUUAAGCCACCAAAUAACUCUCAACUAUUUCGCUCGAUUCAAGAAAAAAACCAAACGCAUGUCUGCAACCAUUCCUCCGCUUUUCUCUCGCCAUUAACUCAAUGCAAUUCUCUCGCCAUUAACUCUACCCAAUGAACAUUUUGAUUCCUUUUUGAUGAACUCAUUUGCUAGGGUUACAGUAGGAAAUUUAUUUCUACCUACCACUCCAGUUCCUUCAAUCUCUGUAUGCCAAAAUUAGGGUUCUUGAUUGAUCUUCCGUUAAAGAAAGUAAAAAACCCUCAUUCCAUGGUAUUAACAUUCACGUGAUCUGAGGUAUGUAACUCAUUCAAAAAAUUUUGCAACUGUUUAUCAGAUACGAUAGAAUGGAUAAACUAUUAAACAAGGUCUAUCUCUCUUUCUCUUUAAUACCCUGUUUUUGUGUUUAAUGGUCAAAUUAGGAAGUGGGUUUUGAUGAUGGGUUUGUUUCUGAUUGUGGGUUCAUUUGAUUUUCGAUUUAUUAUUAUUUUAUUCCCAGGAAUUUCACAAAUUGUAUAUGAAACUCAUAAUCAGUUAGUGGUUUUCUUGAUAAAUCUGAUCCUGGAUUUCAACAUGUGCACAAUACUAAGAAAACUGUGUUGAUCGCAAUGAGUUGCAGGGUCUGAUUGAUGAAGUUUCUUUAGUAACUUUAAUUCUUGAGAAAUCAUUUAAUUUUUUAUCUAGUUUUUUUAAACAUAGGGCAUUGUUCAAAUGGUAAGAUCUGGUGUACAGUUUCUUAGUGCUCUAGAGACAGAUCCAACAUUUACAGUGCAUGUUGUACCUUUUGAGCCAAAACACUCUCAAAAUGGGUAUCUGAAACAGAAAUUAAGGUGACAUUUUUGCUCCAAAUAAUUGGUAAUUCCCCUUGCUUCCUAGUGCUAGAGUAACCGGUGGAGCUCCAAACGAGCUCUCUAAUUUGUUUUCCUUAAGCAACAAUGUGUAUUUUUGUUUGUUGGUUGUUCAAGAACGUGAAGAAAUCAAACAUAGAAAUGGGUAAAGAAGAUUUCCACUGAAGAAUUUAAAUUCUCCAUAUUCCUCUCUGAAUUAUAAGGAUUUUUGUGAUGGUAUAUUCUUCUCUGCAUUUCAGUUAAUCACAAGGUUGAAUUGUUGUGCCCUGACGAAACAUAAGAAAUUUUUCUGCUUUUUGGCAUUAUUAAUAAAUCUCUACUUCAGUGAAGGUAUAUGUAUUCUCCUUCAUUGGAUCAUAAAAAUGGGUUCUUUGUGGUGCCAACCAGGUUUAUUGAGUGUGAUAUUAUGAACUGUUUCUGUUUCGGUUCCGUUAUAGAUUUUAGUAGCAGCAAUUGUAUCGGCUAUAAUUGGGAAUUUUCGAAAACUUUUACUUCAGUUCUAAUUUUCAAUGAUGAGAAGUUCAAUUUCAAGGAUUUUUGUGGUCCAAUGGAGUUCCUUCUACACAUUCCUUUGAUCGCGGAUCAAUAAGUGCACGAAAACUCUGGAAGAGAUUAGGGAUUUUAACGGCAGGAGGAGUUACCCUAUUCUUGGUGGAAGAACAUGAGGCAGGUUGAUUGUCUUGCUGGUGGCUCAAACACAGGCUAGAUCCUAUGGAAAAGUUAGACCUGAGUAUAAUUCUGCUAAAAAUCUUUCUUUUUUGGGUGUUUCGGUGAUGCAUGAUUUUACAAUUUGUACAUGAAACCAGCCUAUAAUUAAAGAACGGAGGGAGUAGUUUAUAGUAGGGUUCACUGUUAGCAUCUGAGGUAAUGUAACUCAUCUAAUUCAUGAAAUUUUGGUAGGAGAAACUGGAACCUUUUUGGCUUGAA